RNAcentral lists this ribosomal RNA (193 nucleotides) under uncultured bacterium. Its description in RNAcentral is "partial 16S ribosomal RNA". It matches the Rfam family "Bacterial small subunit ribosomal RNA", at positions 338 to 524 of the family's 1533-position model. The record is from RNAcentral.
CCUACGGGAGGCAGCAGUGGGGAAUAUUGCACAAUGGGCGCAAGCCUGAUGCAGCCAUGCCGCGUGUGUGAAGAAGGCCUUCGGGUUGUAAAGCACUUUCAGCGGGGAGGAAGGCGGUGAGGUUAAUAACCUCAUCGAUUGACGUUACCCGCAGAAGAAGCACCGGCUAACUCCGUGCCAGCAGCGCGGUAAU